GAUGUGCGAGGUGGGAGAUCUCGAGAAGGUUCUCCUCGAGCUCGACGCGUCGUUCAUGCUCGACGCCGCGCUCGGGCGAAGCGUCGUGGUCGUGGAUUACGGAUCGAGGGAUCGACAGCGCGGCGCGCCGAGGGCGCUGUGGUACGGCCUCGAGUUCGUGCGGUACGCGCUGAACCGCGCGUGGUUCGGAUACAAAGGCGGGGAGGAGGAGGAUGGGGGGGGAGGGGGGGAGAGCGGCGGCGGCGGUACAGCUGGCGCCCACUACGUCCCGGUGUGCCGAGGGAAGAACGUGACGAACGACUUUCGACGGAAAUACUCGGCGCUGUCAAAGUCGUGCAAGA
This 341-nucleotide long non-coding RNA is filed under the name Micromonas pusilla. Its description in RNAcentral is "long non-coding RNA (MPUS_LNC000120)". The record is from RNAcentral. Lineage: Eukaryota; Viridiplantae; Chlorophyta; Mamiellophyceae; Mamiellales; Mamiellaceae.